AGAUGGCUCCCCUGCAUGUCUCCGGCUGAUCGCUGCCGCUCCGCCAAUACAAUAGAGCCAGCCACUACCAGCAGCCUGGCCCUCUUCCUCCUUCUCCAGAGAGACCAAUCCAGCCGAACUCGGGGUUUGCCUGAGGAGAAGGAGGAAGUGACCAUGGACACAAGUGAAAACAGACCUGAAAAUGAUGUUCCAGAACCUCCCAUGCCUAUUGCAGACCAAGUCAGCAAUGAUGACCGCCCGGAGGGCAGUGUUGAAGAUGAGGAGAAGAAAGAGGUAAACAUCCAAGCCACCUGUUGGGGCGGGUGGGCAGGAAUGGACCUAGGGGAAAGAGUAGACCACUCUAGUGAUCCCUCUUACACAGUGGGUUAACUUAAAGGAGGGAUGAGGCAGGGACUUGGAUCAGAAUAGGGCCAAGGGAGAAUUCGCUGGUUUAGCAAGGGAGACCCGUUGUGAUGGGGACAGGGCUCAUUCAUUUUCCUUUCCUUGUUGGGGAAGUAGUGCCCAGACUCUAGACGUUUGUAACUAACUGGAAAGUCUGAUAAUGGCCCUUUAUCUAAGAUUUAUGUUCAGCUUUUCCUGCUGUCUUCCCAAGCUUUUCCUGGUGGUAACUCCUUCAGCUUUCCCUCCUUUUUAAAAGCCUGAUGGAGCCCAACGCCAUCUAGUGGACAUUGGUGGUUCUCACCAGACCAGCCAUGCUGAGAAAUUUUUGUUCCUCC
RNAcentral lists this small RNA (716 nucleotides) under Pongo abelii (Sumatran orangutan). RNAcentral describes it as "retained intron". Lineage: Eukaryota; Metazoa; Chordata; Mammalia; Primates; Hominidae. The record is from RNAcentral.